UUAGUGGCGGACGGGUGAGUAACACGUGAGUAACCUGCCUUUGAGAGGGGGAUAACAUUGAGAAAUCAGUGCUAAUACCGCAUAAUGCAAUUCAUUCGCAUGAAAGAAUUGCCAAAAGAGAAAUCUGCUCAAAGAUGGACUCGCGGCUGAUUAGUUAGUUGGUGGGGUAACGGCCUACCAAGACGAUGAUCAGUAGCCGAGCUGAGAGGCUCAACGGCCACAUUGGGACUGAGACACGGCCCAGACUCCUACGGGAGGCAGCAGUCGGGAAUAUUGCACAAUGGAGGAAACUCUGAUGCAGUGACGCCGCGUACAGGAAGAAGGUCUUUGGAUUGUAAACUGUUGUCGAAAGGGAAGAAAAAAGACAGUACCUUUGGAGGAAGCUCCGGCAAACUACGUGCCAGCAGCCGCGGUAAUACGUAGGGAGCGAGCGUUAUCCGGAUUUAUUGGGUGUAAAGGGCGCGUAGACGGUAUAACAAGUUGGUUGUGAAAUCCCGAGGCUCAACUUCGGAACUGCAACCAAAACUGUUUAACUUGAGUAUGGGAGAGGAAAGCGGAAUUCCUAGUGUAGCGGUGAAAUGCGUAGAUAUUAGGAGGAACACCAGUGGCGAAGGCGGCUUUCUGGACCAUAACUGACGUUGAGGCGCGAAAGUGUGGGGAGCAAACAGGAUUAGAUACCCUGGUAGUCCACACCGUAAACGAUGGAUACUAGGUGUAGGAUGGAUUAAACCGUUCUGUGCCGGCGCUAACGCAAUAAGUAUCCCACCUGAGUAGUACGACCGCAAGGUUGAAACUCAAAGGAAUUGACGGGGGCCCGCAC
Molecule: ribosomal RNA, 820 nt
Filed under: human gut metagenome
Description: bacterial SSU rRNA
Rfam family: Bacterial small subunit ribosomal RNA
Source: RNAcentral